Molecule: ribosomal RNA, 253 nt
Filed under: uncultured bacterium
Lineage: Bacteria
Description: partial 16S ribosomal RNA
Rfam family: Bacterial small subunit ribosomal RNA
Source: RNAcentral
UACAGAGGUCCCAAGCGUUGUUCGGAUUCACUGGGCGUAAAGGGUGCGUAGGCGGUCGGGUAAGUCUGAUGUGAAAUCUCCGGGCUCAACCCGGAAAUGGCAUUGGAUACUAUUCGGCUCGAGGUCUGGAGGGGGGACUGGAAUACUUGGUGUAGCAGUGAAAUGCGUAGAGAUGUGGAGGAAUACCGAUGGCGAAGGCAGCCCCCUGGGCCAAUACUGACGCUCAUGCACGAAAGCGUGGGGAGCAAACAGG